RNAcentral lists this ribosomal RNA (484 nucleotides) under Uroteuthis sp. 1 JATM-2019. RNAcentral describes it as "partial 16S ribosomal RNA". It matches the Rfam family "Bacterial large subunit ribosomal RNA", at positions 1863 to 2588 of the family's 2925-position model. Lineage: Eukaryota; Metazoa; Mollusca; Cephalopoda; Myopsida; Loliginidae. The record is from RNAcentral.
UCGGUGAAAUGUUUAACAGCUGCGGUAUUUUAACUGUACUAAGGUAGCAUAAUAAUUUGCCUUAUAAUUUGAGGCUAGAAUGAAUGGUUUGACGAAGGUUAAUCUGUCUCCACUUUAUUUUUUAGAAAUUAAUUUUCAUAGUGAAAAAGCUUGAAUUUUUUAAGGGGACGAGAAGACCCUAUUGAGCUUAUAAUUUUAUUAAUAUUUCAUAUAUAUUUAUGUUGUGUUAUAUAAAUUUUAAUUGGGGUGAUUAAGGAAUAAUUUGUUGAAUUUAUAGUGUAACUUCCUUAGAAAUUAUAUUGUUAAAUUAAGUAACCGAUUUAUGUAUAGUUUAUAUUGGGUAUUGCUUAUAAUAUAGUUACCAUAGGGAUAACAGCGUAAUUUACUUAGAGAGUUCUUAUUGAAAAGUAAGAUUGCGACCUCGAUGUUGGAUUAAAGUAACCUUAAGGUGUAGAAGCUUUAUAAGGUAAAUCUGUUCGAUUUU